RNAcentral lists this ribosomal RNA (697 nucleotides) under Faecalibacterium prausnitzii. Its description in RNAcentral is "bacterial SSU rRNA". It matches the Rfam family "Bacterial small subunit ribosomal RNA", at positions 276 to 990 of the family's 1533-position model. The record is from RNAcentral. Lineage: Bacteria; Bacillati; Bacillota; Clostridia; Eubacteriales; Oscillospiraceae.
ACGAUCGGUAGCCGGACUGAGAGGUUGAACGGCCACAUUGGGACUGAGACACGGCCCAGACUCCUACGGGAGGCAGCAGUGGGGAAUAUUGCACAAUGGGGGAAACCCUGAUGCAGCGACGCCGCGUGGAGGAAGAAGGUCUUCGGAUUGUAAACUCCUGUUGUUGAGGAAGAUAAUGACGGUACUCAACAAGGAAGUGACGGCUAACUACGUGCCAGCAGCCGCGGUAAAACGUAGGUCACAAGCGUUGUCCGGAAUUACUGGGUGUAAAGGGAGCGCAGGCGGGAAGACAAGUUGGAAGUGAAAUCUAUGGGCUCAACCCAUAAACUGCUUUCAAAACUGUUUUUCUUGAGUAGUGCAGAGGUAGGCGGAAUUCCCGGUGUAGCGGUGGAAUGCGUAGAUAUCGGGAGGAACACCAGUGGCGAAGGCGGCCUACUGGGCACCAACUGACGCUGAGGCUCGAAAGUGUGGGUAGCAAACAGGAUUAGAUACCCUGGUAGUCCACACCGUAAACGAUGAUUACUAGGUGUUGGAGGAUUGACCCCUUCAGUGCCGCAGUUAACACAAUAAGUAAUCCACCUGGGGAGUACGACCGCAAGGUUGAAACUCAAAGGAAUUGACGGGGGCCCGCACAAGCAGUGGAGUAUGUGGUUUAAUUCGACGCAACGCGAAGAACCUUACCAAGUCUUGACAUCCU